UGCAAGUCGAGCGGAAACGAUCCUAGCUUGCUAGGAGGCGUCGAGCGGCGGACGGGUGAGUAAUGCAUAGGAAUCUGCCCGGUAGUGGGGGAUAACUUGAGGAAACUCAAGCUAAUACCGCAUACGCCCUACGGGGGAAAGCAGGGGCUCUUCGGACCUUGCGCUAUCGGAUGAGCUUAUGUCGGAUUAGCUGGUUGGUGAGGUAACGGCUCACCAAGGCGACGAUCCGUAGCUGGUCUGAGAGGAUGAUCAGCCACAUCGGGACUGAGACACGGCCCGAACUCCUACGGGAGGCAGCAGUGGGGAAUAUUGGACAAUGGGGGCAACCCUGAUCCAGCCAUGCCGCGUGUGUGAAGAAGGCCCUCGGGUUGUAAAGCACUUUCAGCGAGGAAGAAUGCUUGUCGGUUAAUACCCGGCAAGGGAGACAUCACUCGCAGAAGAAGCACCGGCUAACUCCGUGCCAGCAGCCGCGGUAAUACGGAGGGUGCGAGCGUUAAUCGGAAUUACUGGGCGUAAAGCGUGCGUAGGCGGCUUGAUAAGCCGGUUGUGAAAGCCCCGGGCUCAACCUGGGAACGGCAUCCGGAACUGUUAGGCUAGAGUGCAGGAGAGGAAGGUAGAAUUCCCGGUGUAGCGGUGAAAUGCGUAGAGAUCGGGAGGAAUACCAGUGGCGAAGGCGGCCUUCUGGACUGACACUGACGCUGAGGUACGAAAGCGUGGGUAGCAAACAGGAUUAGAUACCCUGGUAGUCCACGCCGUAAACGAUGUCGACUAGCCGUUGGGGUCCUCGAGACCUUUGUGGCGCAGUUAACGCACUAAGUCGACCGCCUGGGGAGUACGGCCGCAAGGUUAAAACUCAAAUGAAUUGACGGGGGCCCGCACAAGCGGUGGAGCAUGUGGUUUAAUUCGAUGCAACGCGAAGAACCUUACCUACCCUUGACAUCGUGCGAACUUUCCAGAGAUGGAUUGGUGCCUUCGGGAGCGCACAGACAGGUGCUGCAUGGCUGUCGUCAGCUCGUGUUGUGAAAUGUUGGGUUAAGUCCCGUAACGAGCGCAACCCUUGUCCCUAUUUGCCAGCGAUUCGGUCGGGAACUCUAGGGAGACUGCCGGUGACAACCCGGAGGAAAGGUGGGGACGACGUCAAGUCAUCAUGGCCCUUAC
Molecule: ribosomal RNA, 1158 nt
Filed under: Halomonas sp. NCCP-978
Lineage: Bacteria; Pseudomonadati; Pseudomonadota; Gammaproteobacteria; Oceanospirillales; Halomonadaceae
Description: bacterial SSU rRNA
Rfam family: Bacterial small subunit ribosomal RNA
Source: RNAcentral